CUACACAUGCAAGUCGAACGAAGUAGCAAUACUUAGUGGCAGACGGGUGAGUAACAUGUAGGUAUCUGCCCUUUGGCCUGGAAUAACACGAGGAAACUUGUGCUAAUACCGGAUAAGUCUUUACGGAGAAAGCUUUAUGCACCAUUGGAUGAGCCUGCACUUGAUUAGUUUGUUGGUGGGGUAAUGGCCUACCAAGACUGUGAUCAAUAGCUGAUUUGAGAGGAUGAUCAGCCACAUUGGGACUGAGACACGGCCCAAACUCCUACGGGAGGCAGCAGUGGGGAAUCUUGCACAAUGGAGGAAACUCUGAUGCAGCGAUGCCGCGUGAGUGAAGAAGGCCCUUGGGUUGUAAAGCUCUUUCGUCGGGGAAGAAAAUGACUGUACCCGAAUAAGAAGGUCCGGCUAACUUCGUGCCAGCAGCCGCGGUAAUACGAAGGGACCUAGCGUAGUUCGGAAUUACUGGGCUUAAAGAGUUCGUAGGUGGUUGAAAAAGUUAGUGGUGAAAUCCCAGAGCUUAACUCUGGAACUGCCAUUAAAACUUUUCAGCUAGAGUAUGAUAGAGGAAAGCAGAAUUUCUAGUGUAGAGGUGAAAUUCGUAGAUAUUAGAAAGAAUACCAAUUGCGAAGGCAGCUUUCUGGAUCAUUACUGACACUGAGGAACGAAAGCAUGGGUAGCGAAGAGGAUUAGAUACCCUCGUAGUCCAUGCCGUAAACGAUGUGUGUUAGACGUUGGAAAUUUAUUUUCAGUGUCGCAGGGAAACCGAUAAACACACCGCCUGGGGAGUACGACCGCAAGGUUAAAACUCAAAUGAAUUGACGGGGACCCGCACAAGUAGUGGAGCAUGUGGUUUAAUUCGAAGAUACGCGCAGAACCUUACCAACACUUGACAUGUUCGUCGCGACUCUAAGAGAUUAGAGUUUUCGGUUCGGCCGGACGAAACACAGGUGCUGCAUGGCUGUCGUCAGCUCGUGUCGUGAGAUGUUGGGUUAAGUCCCGCAACGAGCGCA
Molecule: ribosomal RNA, 1007 nt
Filed under: uncultured bacterium
Lineage: Bacteria
Description: bacterial SSU rRNA
Rfam family: Bacterial small subunit ribosomal RNA
Source: RNAcentral